This 23-nucleotide non-coding RNA is filed under the name Cricetulus griseus (Chinese hamster). The record is from RNAcentral. Lineage: Eukaryota; Metazoa; Chordata; Mammalia; Rodentia; Cricetidae.
UUGCCUAAGGAGGGGUGAACCGG